Molecule: ribosomal RNA, 427 nt
Filed under: uncultured bacterium
Lineage: Bacteria
Description: partial 16S ribosomal RNA
Rfam family: Bacterial small subunit ribosomal RNA
Source: RNAcentral
UGGGGAAUUUUGGACAAUGGGCGCAAGCCUGAUCCAGCAAUGCCGCGUGAGUGAAGAAGGCCCUCGGGUUGUAAAGCUCUUUUGUCAGGGAAGAAAAGGUGAUCUCUAAUACAGGUCACUCAUGACGGUACCUGAAGAAUAAGCACCUGCUAACUACGUGCCAGCAGCCGCGGUAAUACGUAGGGUGCAAGCGUUAAUCGGAAUUACUGGGCGUAAAGCGUGCGCAGGCGGUUAUAUAAGUCAGAUGUGAAAUCCCCGGGCUCAACCUGGGAACUGCAUAUGAGACUGUAUGGCUAGAGUGUGUCAGAGGGGGGUAGAAUUCCACGUGUAGCAGUGAAAUGCGUAGAUAUGUGGAGGAAUACCGAUGGCGAAGGCAGCCCCCUGGGAUAACACUGACGCUCAUGCACGAAAGCGUGGGGAGCAAACA